CGACGAAUCUUCCGCAAUGGACGAAAGUCUGACGGAGCGAUGCCGCGUGUGGGAUGAAGCGGCUUUGCCGUGUAAACCACUGUCAGGGGGUAGAAACAAUGAUCACCUCCAAAGGAAGGGUCGACUAACCCUGUGCCAGCAGUCGCGGUAAGACAGGGGACCCGAGCGUUAGUCGGAAUUACUGGGCUUAAAGGGUGCGUAGGCGGACCUGUAAGUGUCGUGUGAAAGCCCACCGCUCAACGGUGGAACUGCACGGCAAACUGCAGGUCUCGAGGUUGGUAGAGGCCGGUGGAACGAUUGGUGGAGCGGUGGAAUGCGUAGAUAUCAAUCGGAACGCCAAAGGUGAAGACAGCCGGCUGGGCCACACCUGACGCUGAGGCACGAAAGCGUGGGGAGCAAA
This 400-nucleotide ribosomal RNA is filed under the name uncultured bacterium. RNAcentral's name for it is "bacterial SSU rRNA". It matches the Rfam family "Bacterial small subunit ribosomal RNA", at positions 355 to 772 of the family's 1533-position model. The record is from RNAcentral.